AACGAACGCUGGCGGCAUGCCUAACACAUGCAAGUCGAACGAGACCUUCGGGUCUAGUGGCGCACGGGUGCGUAACGCGUGGGAACUUGCCCUUAGGUUCGGAAUACCUCCCCGUAAGGGGUGCUAAUACCGGUUAAUGUCUUCGGACCAAAGAUGUAUCGCCUUUGGAUGGGCCUGCGUUGGAUUGGCUGGUUGGUAGGGUACAAGCCUACCAUGGCGACGUUCCAUAGCUGGUCUGAGAGGAUGAUCAGCCACGCUGGGACUGAGACACGGCCCAGACUCCUACGGGAGGCAGCAGUAGGGAAUAUUAGACAAGGGACGAAAGCCUGAUCCAGCAGUGCCGCGUGAGUGAUGAAGGCCUUAGGGUUGUAAAGCUCUUUUACCCGGGAUGAUAAUGACAGUACCGGGAGAAUAAGCUCCGGCUAACUCCGUG
Molecule: ribosomal RNA, 433 nt
Filed under: uncultured bacterium
Lineage: Bacteria
Description: partial 16S ribosomal RNA
Rfam family: Bacterial small subunit ribosomal RNA
Source: RNAcentral